UGAAGCACAAACACCAACUUACAUUAAUAACCAACACUGCUACACGUAAUUCCUUCCUAGCAAAGCCACGCCCCUCCACCAAUGAGAGACAAGAGAUAACAACCCUGCGCUGCUGAUUGGCUAACGGAGAGCUAUCUAACAUACGAUUGGGCGGAUGGCGAGGCGGGUGGCGAGGCGGGAGGAGGCUGGUCGUGGGAGUAGCGGGGGUGACUCUUGAUAAAAUGUUGUGUCGUGAGGGUGAAAUGAGUGUGUUUUAACCAAGGGGUGAGGGGAACUGGUCUCCUGCCCCUGCCCCUCCCUAACCUCACCUAGCUACACCUGGUCUGCCUUCCCCGUGACUUGAGUUGGUGUGAGAAGGUGAAUUCAGUAUAUAUAUGCAGGUUCAAGAUGUAACGGUUAGCGAAGGCGUGAUGGUGGCAGGGACACCACACACCACUAUGAACACCAAGAAUGACUAAAGUGACAGCAAAACCAAGCUAGAAUGAAGACAAGACGUGCGAAGAAUGUGUUAGAGUGCCUUUCUCCACUCAGCACACUCCGCACUGCACUCUUCACUCCCUAUCCUGCCCUGCCACGGUGCCAAAUUCAACAUUCACCCACCAUGUCACUGGAAUCCCUUAUCGUGUAAUCCAAUCCCCUUCCCUUCGCUGGUUGUCGGAUUUGAACAGCCAGCUUGCAGAAUUUGAUCCAUGUACUUAUGGAGUCUUACAAAAUAACUCGAAUAUACUUUUUUUCCUCACAUUCACUUUUUAUUUGUUAUGAGAUCGAUGUCCAUUCGAUUUCGGGCUUAAAAUGUUACGCUGUUGCUUGUGAUGACUUGUAAAUAAACACUGCAAUGGUGUA
Long non-coding RNA from Portunus trituberculatus (swimming crab), 843 nucleotides. RefSeq lists it as uncharacterized. The transcript has 2 exons. Lineage: Eukaryota; Metazoa; Arthropoda; Malacostraca; Decapoda; Portunidae. The record is from RefSeq and is a predicted model, not a curated record.